This 172-nucleotide ribosomal RNA is filed under the name Salmonella enterica subsp. enterica serovar Schwarzengrund. RNAcentral's name for it is "partial 23S ribosomal RNA". It matches the Rfam family "Bacterial large subunit ribosomal RNA", at positions 1 to 164 of the family's 2925-position model. RNAcentral also lists the same sequence under 1 other name. The record is from RNAcentral. Lineage: Bacteria; Pseudomonadati; Pseudomonadota; Gammaproteobacteria; Enterobacterales; Enterobacteriaceae.
GGGUUGUGAGGUUAAGCGACUAAGCGUACACGGUGGAUGCCCUGGCAGUCAGAGGCGAUGAAGGACGUGCUAAUCUGCGAUAAGCGCCGGUAAGGUGAUAUGAACCGUUAUAACCGGCGAUUUCCGAAUGGGGAAACCCAGUGUGACUCGUCACACUAUCAUUAACUGAAUC